This 501-nucleotide ribosomal RNA is filed under the name uncultured bacterium. RNAcentral's name for it is "partial 16S ribosomal RNA". It matches the Rfam family "Bacterial small subunit ribosomal RNA", at positions 30 to 523 of the family's 1533-position model. The record is from RNAcentral.
AUUGAACGCUGGCGGCAUGCCUUACACAUGCAAGUCGAACGGCAGCACGGGUGCUUGCACCUGGUGGCGAGUGGCGAACGGGUGAGUAAUAUAUCGGAACGUACCUUAUCGUGGGGGAUAACGCAGCGAAAGUUGCGCUAAUACCGCAUACGCCCUAAGGGGGAAAGCAGGGGACCGUAAGGCCUUGCGCGAUUAGAGCGGCCGAUAUCUGAUUAGCUAGUUGGUGAGGUAAAGGCUCACCAAGGCGACGAUCAGUAGCUGGUCUGAGAGGACGAUCAGCCACACUGGGACUGAGACACGGCCCAGACUCCUACGGGAGGCAGAAGUGGGGAAUUUUGGACAAUGGGGGCAACCCUGAUCCAGCAAUGCCGCGUGAGUGAAGAAGGCCUUCGGGUUGUAAAGCUCUUUUGUCAGGGAAGAAACAGCGGCUCUAAUACAGUUUGCGAAUGACGGUACCUGAAGAAUAAGCACCGGCUAACUACGUGCCAGCAGCCGCCGUAA